UCGUAUAAAAGAGGUGCCAAGGGCUGUCGCUGUCCCUCAAGGGUCGUGCACGCCCAAAGUGCUUUCAUACAAUCCAUCUCACCCCUUUGUGCAUCACCGCGUGGGUUCCUCCCCUUGCGGGGAAGGGCUUGCGUUUUCACAUAAAACUUGAUACAGUGUAGAAUGUUUUCUUUUGCGGUCACACGCAAUCAAUA
Molecule: unclassified non-coding RNA, 194 nt
Filed under: uncultured Russula
Lineage: Eukaryota; Fungi; Basidiomycota; Agaricomycetes; Russulales; Russulaceae
Description: sequence contains ITS1
Source: RNAcentral